RNAcentral lists this ribosomal RNA (198 nucleotides) under uncultured bacterium. Its description in RNAcentral is "partial 16S ribosomal RNA". It matches the Rfam family "Bacterial small subunit ribosomal RNA", at positions 1307 to 1500 of the family's 1533-position model. The record is from RNAcentral.
GCAACUCGACUGCACGAAGCUGGAAUCGCUAGUAAUCGCGGAUCAGCACGCCGCGGUGAAUACGUUCCCGGGCCUUGUACACACCGCCCGUCACACCAUGGAAGUCUGCAAUGCCCGAAGCCGGUGGCCUAACCACUUAUGUGGAAGGAGCCGUCUAAGGCNGGGCAGAUGACUGGGGUGAAGUCGUAACAAGGUACC